GAGUGGCGGACGGGUUGAGUAACGCGUGGGNUAACCUUGCCUCAUACAAGGGGAUAACAGUUAGAAAUGGCUGCUAAUACCGUAUAAGACCACAGCACCGCAUGGUGCGGUGGUAAAAACUCCGGUGGUAUGAGAUGGACCCGCGUCUGAUUAGCUGGUUGGCGGGGUAACGGCCCACCAAGGCGACGAUCAGUAGCCGACCUGAGAGGGUGACCGGCCACAUUGGGACUGAGACACGGCCCAAACUCCUACGGGAGGCAGCAGUGGGGAAUAUUGCACAAUGGGGGAAACCCUGAUGCAGCGACGCCGCGUGAGCGAAGAAGUAUUUCGGUAUGUAAAGCUCUAUCAUCAGGGAAGAAAAUGACGGUACCUGACUAAGAAGCACCGGCUAAAUACGUGNCCAGCAGCCGCGGUAAUACGUAUGGUGCAAGCGUUAUCCCGGAUUUACUGGGUGUAAAAGGGAGCGUAGACGGCUGUGUAAGUCUGGAGUGAAAGCCCGGGGCUCAACCCCGGGAACUGCUUUGGAAACUAUGCAGCUAGAGUGUCGGAGAGGUAAGUGGAAUUCCCAGUGUAGCGGUGAAAUGCGUAGAUAUUGGGAGGAACACCAGUGGCGAAGGCGGCUUACUGGACGAUGACUGACGUUGAUGCUCGAAAGCGUGGGGAGCAAACAGGAUUAGAUACCCUGGUAGUUCCACGCCGUAAACGAUGAAUACUAGGUGUCGUGGUGGCAAAGCCAUUCGGUGCCGCAGCAAACGCAGUAAGUAUUCCACCUGGGGAGUACGUUCGCAAGAAUGAAACUUCAAAGGAAUUGACGGGGACCCGCACAAGCGGUGGAGCAUGUGGUUUAAUUNGAAGCAACGCGAAGAACCUUACCUGGUCUUGACAUCCCGGUGACAGAGUAUGUAAUGUACUUUCCCUUCGGGGCACUGGAGACAGGUGGUGCAUGGUUGUCGUCAGCUCGUGUCGUGAGAUGUUGGGUUAAGUCCCGCAACGAGCGCAACCCUUAUCUUUAGUAGCCAGCAUUUAAGGUGGGCACUCUAGAGAGACUGCCAGGGAUAACCUGGAGGAAGGUGGGGAUGACGUCAAAUCAUCAUGCCCCUUAUGAUCAGGGCUACACACGUGCUACAAUGGCGUAAACAAAGGGAAGCGAGGCCGCGAGGCGGAGCAAAUCCCAAAAAUAACGUCUCAGUUCGGAUUGUAGUCUGCAACUCGACUACAUGAAGCUGGAAUCGCUAGUAAUCGCGAAUCAGAAUGUCGCGGUGAAUACGUUCCCGGGUCUUGUACACACCGCCCGUCACACCAUGGGAGUCAGUAACGCCCGAAGUACAGUGACCCAACCGAAAGGAGG
Molecule: ribosomal RNA, 1348 nt
Filed under: bacterium NLAE-zl-P94
Lineage: Bacteria
Description: 16S ribosomal RNA
Rfam family: Bacterial small subunit ribosomal RNA
Source: RNAcentral